GUAGGGUGCGAGCGUUAAUCGGAAUUACUGGGCGUAAAGCGUGCGCAGGCGGUUUGGUAAGACAGGCGUGAAAUCCCCGGGCUUAACCUGGGAACUGCGUUUGUGACUGCCAGGCUAGAGUACGGCAGAGGGGGGUGGAAUUCCACGUGUAGCAGUGAAAUGCGUAGAGAUGUGGAGGAACACCAAUGGCGAAGGCAGCCCCCUGGGUCGAUACUGACGCUCAUGCACGAAAGCGUGGGUAGCAAACAGGAUUAGAUACCCUGGUAGUCCACGCCCUAAACGAUGUCAACUAGGUGUUGGGUGGGUAAAACCAUUUAGUACCGUAGCUAACGCGAGAAGUUGACCGCCUGGGGAGUACGGCCGCAAGGUUA
This 371-nucleotide ribosomal RNA is filed under the name uncultured organism. Its description in RNAcentral is "bacterial SSU rRNA". It matches the Rfam family "Bacterial small subunit ribosomal RNA", at positions 527 to 896 of the family's 1533-position model. The record is from RNAcentral.